This 586-nucleotide ribosomal RNA is filed under the name uncultured bacterium. Its description in RNAcentral is "bacterial SSU rRNA". It matches the Rfam family "Bacterial small subunit ribosomal RNA", at positions 338 to 916 of the family's 1533-position model. The record is from RNAcentral.
CCUACGGGAGGCAGCAGUGGGGAAUUUUGGACAAUGGGCGAAAGCCUGAUCCAGCAAUGCCGCGUGAGUGAAGAAGGCCUUCGGGUUGUAAAGCUCUUUUGUCAGGGAAGAAACGGUGAGAGCUAAUAUCUCUUGCUAAUGACGGUACCUGAAGAAUAAGCACCGGCUAACUACGUGCCAGCAGCCGCGGUAAUACGUAGGGUGCAAGCGUUAAUCGGAAUUACUGGGCGUAAAGCGUGCGCAGGCGGUUUUGUAAGUCUGAUGUGAAAUCCCCGGGCUCAACCUGGGAAUUGCAUUGGAGACUGCAAGGCUAGAAUCUGGCAGAGGGGGGUAGAAUUCCACGUGUAGCAGUGAAAUGCGUAGAUAUGUGGAGGAACACCGAUGGCGAAGGCAGCCCCCUGGGUCAAGAUUGACGCUCAUGCACGAAAGCGUGGGGAGCAAACAGGAUUAGAUACCCUGGUAGUCCACGCCCUAAACGAUGUCUACUAGUUGUCGGGUCUUAAUUGACUUGGUAACGCAGCUAACGCGUGAAGUAGACCGCCUGGGGAGUACGGUCGCAAGAUUAAAACUCAAAUGAAAUUGACGG